UGUGUUUACUUCUACAAGUUACAAUAAAAACAAUUCAACAAGCAUACUAAUAAAAUAAUGGUUACAAUUUUUGAAUCUAAAUUUUGGUGGGAAAUAUCCUAUAAAUACUACAUGCCCUGCGGUGAAAUUCCACAAUUACAUUGAAGCCAAGGAAGUCAAGGAGAGGAAAAAUCCCUUCAUUUGGUGAGGACGUAUGCAAUGCCUGAAAGUAAUAAAACGAAAGGAAUCAGGAGUAGAGUGCUUAUUCCAUGAGGUACUCUUUCCAACAAAAUAGACCUGAAAGAACAAAUAUAUCAUGAGCAGUCAGUAGAAACAUGAAUUAGAAAUUUGAGAUGCAACCAGAUAUUUUGAGCUUGAAAGCAAUUAGAGGAUUAGUCUAUUAUAUUGACAUGUAUUAUGUUGAAACACAAAUUAUUAGUUUAGGACAAAGUCCUUUAUCAAUUUAGAUGGUUAGUAUUUGGGUUUUAAAAUUGAAUCAGAACAAAAACAUUUUUUGGAACAAGGAACAAAUUAAUUAUCUAUUGCAUGCUUGAGUAGGCUAUAAAUUACACAGUACUCAAAACA
Ipomoea nil (Japanese morning glory) is the source of this 564-nucleotide long non-coding RNA. RefSeq lists it as uncharacterized. The record is from RefSeq and is a predicted model, not a curated record. The transcript is spliced from 2 exons. Lineage: Eukaryota; Viridiplantae; Streptophyta; Magnoliopsida; Solanales; Convolvulaceae.